Sapajus apella (tufted capuchin) is the source of this 8814-nucleotide long non-coding RNA. RefSeq lists it as uncharacterized. NCBI's taxonomy places the organism in Eukaryota, Metazoa, Chordata, Mammalia, Primates, Cebidae. The record is from RefSeq and is a predicted model, not a curated record. The transcript is spliced from 2 exons.
UUGAGGAGGCAGGUUCUGGAGUUUUAAAUCCAAUGACAGCUGAUCCAAGCAGUAAUACCAAGCAGACUGUCUUCCCCAGGAGGCGUGGGCAUAGGAGAGGACCUGUAAGGUGAGCGCAACACGAGAAAUAGAAGAUCAGCAUGUCUGAGUUGGUGUGGUCUCAGCUAGAGUCCCAGUACCCUAGGGUCAGCUAUGGUGGCAGCCCAGUAUGAUGGAAUACCUUUGGACAUUGCUGUCAGGACGAUUUUAGUUUGCAUCGUAGGCCACUUCUGUCCACUUACAAGGCCUCACACAAUUUUUCCAACUUUUAUGAAACUCCUUGCCUUUCUUUGGUAAUGGGAAAACUGUAAACAUUCCCAAAAUUAUUGAAGGAUGUGAGGAGAUGAUGCACAUAAAGCACUUGGCGUGGUUCUCAGCGCACUCUAGAUCCUCAAUCUCAGAUCCCCACACAUGGCGCCAGGCCAGCAGAGUGGAUGAUGCUGAAGGAAUUGAAGCUCUCUUUUAAGUACAGGUAAUUACAAAGCAAACAGAUUUUCCAGCACGAAAGGUUUAUGACUUUUGGAAUCCAAGAACAGGGGUUAAAGAAGUCAUUGCAAUCCCCAUUGCCUCAUCUGGUGGAACUGACCUAAACAAGUGAAGUUUCCCAUUUUACUGAAAAACCAAGCAGGCUAACAGGUUUUACUUCCAUUUCACCCAUCAUUCUGUGUUUGUGACUGGAGGGUGUGCUUUAAAGCUGUGAGCCUCACCUUCUAUCUCUUCGUGGCCCGAAGGCUCUCAAUGGGAAUUGUGAAACGUAGAACCACAAGAGUCUCCAAAAGAAGUAACUUAUCUUUUCUCCUCCCUGAAACAGAUUCAUAUAGGCUAAAAAAUUGGAUGAGUACAUUUCGCUUUGUUUAAAUAACACUUGGUUUUGCUGCUUUUAAUCAUUGGUUCCCCUGAGCCUGGCAUGCUUUCUGCAGCACACACUGGCUGCAUACCUAACAGAUAUUUUGAAUACAACAGCUUGACUCCCCUGCUGCUUGGAUGAUAGCAAUUGGCUAGGUGUUCCAUCCUCUUCCUUCUCCCCCUCUCUAUGGUUGCAAGGAGAUUUCAAGUGCAAUUUGGCCUUGCACGUCAAACAGCAAUUUUCCUGCAGACAUCACAACCUCCAAAAACCCUACCCUAAUCAAAUCUAUCAAGCCCAAUUUAGGGGUGAGCUUGUGUCUGUUUAUCAAGGAAAUGGAGUUGAAAUUGCCCCCUUUAAUGGAAUCACAGCUGCCCACCAUAAUCUUUCACAUGGAUGUUUGAAUUAAUAGUAGGACGUGGCCCCUGCUCUCCAACCUUGGAAUUUGAUUCUGGUUAUAGGAAAUUGCUAUAAUUUCCGUUCUGGGACUCUCAGAGAUGUUGGGGCAUUUGGGGCUGGGGUUAGAAUUAAUGUGUCAGAGGAAUUUAAGAAUUCAGAAGUGGUUGUGGGAAGAUUAGCACUUUUACACAACACCCAGUGAGUCACCUCUGCAUCAAAUCAAACCUGCUGUGACCCACGUGAACUACUUUUACCAAGUCAAGGAGAAAGAAUAGAGGAAUGGUUUUUUCUGAAGAUCAAAUUUUAAAUGAGAACACAGCAGAUAUGGGUAGAAAGUAUGUGUCCUUCUGAAGUGUAGGGCAGCUCAUUUGAACCAAUUGUGCUUUUGGAGUUGCCAUACUGAGUGGCCAGCAGCCCAGAUGAGAUGCCUAGGUCCUCCCUGAGCUAGAGUAAAGGCUGGUAGCCUGUCCUGGGGCCCAUCCCUUCUCCCCAUUCACUCCUUUUGUACGUUGGGACUUUGUAUUUCCCCCACGGAAGCCUCAGUGUCCCCUUAGAGGUUGUGUUCCACUCGGCAUGCAGACAUAGAUCCUACGGCAGUUUUGCCAUAGCACAGGGUGACUUCACUUUUUAAAAUGACCAAGGGACAUUCAGUUCCUCUUUCAAACACAUUGGCACCUUUGUUUAUAUCUUGCUAUUUAGAACACUGUUUUUCUUGCAUAUUUUCAUGCUUGUAUCCCGCGUCAUCCUCAUGGUACAGAAGGGAGGUAAACCAUUCCUAAUGUGAAAUUGUAAAUGAGGAAAGCACAGCUAGAUGACCUAUUCAAUUAUUGAUGGCACUGGAGCCAGGCCGCCUUGAACAAACCCGUGCUCUUCACGUAACACGUUCUGACGUCUUGAACCUUUCUCUCAUUCCCCUUGACCACUCACUCCCCAGCAUGUGAGCCGGGCACAUCUUUCCCGAGGCAGAGUCCAUGACCCCAGCGCUGUACCACCCACACAGACCUGGUUACCUCUGACCCCUCAAGGAAAUUUCUCCUCAUCUGACCCCCCCCCAAGAACUCAUUCUGAUAGAGGGUAUUUCAGGGAGACAUGCCUUGUGUAAUCUUUUUUAAGUGCAGUAUAAUAAAAAAAAAUUAAAAUCCUUAAAAAAAACUAAUUCUGAGCAUUAUAAUACAUAGGUGAGAGACAGCCUCUUUUCCUGAAAUACACCUGAAGUUUUCCGUCUUUCAAUUGACAAUGAAAAGCUCCUAAAUUAGAGAAUCAUAGGCAUUUAAUACAUGUGGGGAGGGAGCCUAUUCAUUUUCUUCAAGAGUGGCUAAUGCCUCUCAGAAAAUUCCCCCAUUUAGAAUUAAUUCAGCUUUCCUAUUGGAUUCCUUUCUUGUCUCUUUUCCUCCUGCGUUGUCCUGCCUCUUUUCAUUUUACUUAGGGGCAUUUGCAUGAAAACAGCAUUUCAGCUACUUGGGGUUUUAUCUGCUGCCAUUUACUCUCCCUUAGAAUCCAUAAUUCCCUGCUAUCACCUCCAUCUCUGCACCCCCCACUCUUGGGAUGCCUUCAGGGAGGAGGGCACACACCACCCAUCCCCAUAAGUAGCACCCUUCUCCAGAGCCUGGAGGAUUGGCAGUCCCCAGAGUACCCUAGCUAGGACGGAAAGAUUGCCAGGCAGUGAUGGGUCGGGGGGUAGGGCUGCGAGGGUGAGUUGCUAAGCUCUCUCCCUGUGCCAUCUGCAGCUCUGACCUUGUCUGUUGAUCAAUGGUCUGUAUGUGCAGGGAGUGCCGAAAGCCCUGGCUGCUUUCUCGUGCAAGCAGAGUGCUAUGCUAACCUUCCUCACUGCAUUCUGUACGGCUAACAAAUAGUCAUAGCCUGAGAAACUGUGAACAGAAAGUGAGAAACAAAAACACAGUGUUAUUUUCCCCCACUUUAUGUAAUUGCCUCGGAUUAUUGAUUGAGCUUUAUCCAUUGUGCUGUGCAACUCCCUUUGCUACUGUUGAGAAUUGAGAAAGGGUGCCCGUUCCUCAGGAGAGAGCCUGAUGGGUUGCGGGUGUGAUUAUGAGCAGAUAGAGGCAGCCCAGCUCCAGAUUGUUGAGGACCAAAAGGACCAUAGACAUUGGCAAAUAAUUCCAGCACAUCAUUUACCUGGCAUCCUCCACCUCCAGACACAUCACGGAGCUGAGGUAGCAAAUACGGGACCUUUGAAUGAGACUUUCCCUGUAUGGCAGGAGGGCACCCUCAUUCAAUUUGUGGGUGUUUUCUUCCUUCAUUGACAAACAUAACUGAGAGAGGACAUUCUACACCGAGGUCCCUGGCAUCUCCAUGCUUCUGCAUCUUUUGCCACCUGUUUGCUUCUCGUAAACUCCUCUCUUGACGUUUAUCACUGACUUACUAAUUAUCAAACGAACUGGCUGAAUCUCAAGCCAACUUACUCCUUUCUGCAGCACUUGCUCCCAGCCACUGCCCACUCCUCUCUGUGAAAUCCAUCUUCCUAGCCCUCCAGACCUUGACCUUCCUUUCUCCCUCAGCCCUGGCUGCUUGGCUUCUGCUCCUUGAGGACUCCUCCACCUUGUCUUUCUCCCAAGUGAAGGCAUUCUCUGGAGUUCUGUCCCCAACCUUUCUCUUGUCCUUUCUUUUCUUUUUAUACAUUCUUUCCCUUGGUGUUCUCAUCACCUCCCACUGUCCAAUUAUCACCUCUGUGGGAAUGAUGCCUAAAUCUGUUUCCAGCCUUGACUAUUUAUCCAAAAAUCUCGUCUUGCAUCUAUAAUUGCCUUCACAAUAUUACCAGCUCUGUCUUCCUUGCCCUGACAUAAAUUCUGUCUCUCAGGCCUGAUAAUCUGUUGAUUUUAACUUUGUUAUUUUUCACCACUCCUUUUCGUCUCCAGCACCUGCAACCUAGUUUGGUAUUUUAUUGCUUCUCACCCAAACUAGCAGAACAACUAAUUAGUUAAUCUCUCUCUUUCGCCUCUUACCCUACACACCUCUUCCCAAAGUACAGCUCUGACCCUCACACUUUCUAAUAAAAGCCAUUAAUGAUACCCUUAUUUUUGCCAGGAAAGUUAAGUCCAGCUUAUUUAUUGAGGCAUGGCUGAGGGGGUCGGAGCACGCUCAUAAGCGUGACACCUGCUGUUUCCUGUGCCUGCUCUGCGCUAUCUCAAGCCCUCACCUUCUUCCUCUUUGCAUGCACCAAGUUUUUGUGCCACAAAGGGCAAGAGUAGUUUCCUGAGCAUCCACACCCAGUGAGAACUCUGGAUUUGGUCCUGCCAUCCCCUAUGCCAGGAUUAGCCUUCCUUUUCCCAUCCCAUGCACCUCAGCACCUCCUUGCUCACGUGACAUAGUUUUCAUCAUCUUUCAAAACCCACAGCAAGGGUUAUGUCCUCUGCAACGUCUUCUCUCACGCAACCUGACAGCAUCAGUCAUUCCCUUCCCUCCACUCCCAGGGCACCGACUAUGUCUCUCUUGCUGUGAGUUGCAUGUGUCUCCUCCAAAAUUCAUGUGUUAAAGCUUAACUCCCACUGUGCUGGUGUCAGGGAAGUGAUUAAGUCAUGAAAGCUGUACCCUCAUGAGUGUGUUAGUGCCUUGUCAAAGGGCUGGAGGGAGUAGCCAUGACUCUUUUUCACUCCUUCUGUCCUUCCUGCCAUGGGAAGACACAGCAUACCUCCUUCUGGAGGAUGCGGCCACAGGUGUUCUCUUAGAAGGGAAGACAGAGUCUUCAUCAGGCACUAAACCCACUGGCAUCUGAAUCUUGGACCCCAGCCUCCAGAAGUGUGAGAAAUAAAUGUCUGGGUUUUUUUUUUGUUUUUUUUUAAUAAAUUAAUCACUCUCAGGUAUUUUGUUAAAGAAGCACAAACAGACUAAAACAUUCAUAUUAUAAUAUCUGCUUCUAUAAAGCAGAGGCCAUCAUGAUCAUCUUCCUCACUGUAGCCCCAGCACCUAACAUGGAAUAAACAUGAAGUCAGGACCAGCCCUCACUUCCAACCCAACUGAAAUGCUUGCCUUUUCAUGAGCAUAUACUAUGAUUCCUUCUGUCAUUGCUUUUACUCUGGUCCUUUCCUACAGCAAUUUCCCCUCUAUUAUGGAUUCACCAAAAUUCCACCCAUUGUAAGCAAUGCCCAGUGUAUAUAUCUUUUCCCACAAGAAGUCUUCUUUGGCCUCUUUUUAUUCAUCCUACAUGGAUAGGUGGGGUGUGUGUGUGUGUCUAAGUAUGUAAACUCUCAAACAUGAAAAACGUAAGAUUUACAGUUAUCAGACUUAUAUUAGAAUUUGGACCCAGAUAAGUAGAGCUUUAUUACUUAAUUUUUUUUAAAGUUUACACUACUCUAAUACUAAAACACGCCUUGCAGGGGCAAUAAUACUAGUUUCUACUAACAGAAAGAACUUACGAUAGCACCUGGAAUAUAGCAAAUGAUCAAUAAUGUUAAUUCAUGUUCUUUCUUCUUUAAGAAACUUAGCAUUUUCUGACUUUCAGCAUAUUCGUACACUUCUUUCCUGUCAAUAAUAGAACAAAACUACCAGUGAAAGAACAAUAUCUUAUCCACAUUUCUUUUGCCAGCAGUGACUAUCAGAGAUUCUUAUAUACUUGUAUUGCUCGGGAUGUUUAUUAAAUUUAAUGGAGCAAAUGGAUUUAGAAAGUUUUAUGCUUUAAAAAAGAAUAUAGCUUUAUUGUUUGCAGAAAAUUAAACACAAUGUUUAUGGUCAUGCCUAUAAAAUUUUGGACAUCACACUUUCGAUAAGGAAUAUAAUCACUCGAUAACAUAUUUUCUAUGGGAAAAUCAGAUUUGACAUCCAUCGUUUCAAUUUAGUGUCGUUAGCAGAAAUUUUGCUCCUUUUCUCCAUUGUAACUUUACGUAAGCAUGAAAACAUGAAACAGCAUUGACUUGACAACAUUCUUUUAAAAGGUGGUCAAUGAGGUAAAUUAGAUUACCUGCUAAAUUCCGUGCAGUAAUUGAGUUUUCCUAUAAGACUAAGUGCACCUUCUUUGAAGAAAUUUGUUUUCCACUGUGGGGCAAAUUAUAAAUAAUUGGUUAUAUGCACUGAAUUGCUAUGACCCAGAAUCUUAAAAAUAUCUAAUAAUCACAAAAUUUGAAGCUCUCUGGACUUGAGUUUUUCUUUUGAAAAAGUAACUGUGGUUAAUCAUUGCCUCACUUAGACUGCAAUGUUGAUAUGAAAACCGCGUGUGAGCCUCUCAGUUCCAGAGUCUGUCUUUGCUUCCACAUCCCUGAAGCCUAGUAGAGUGUCUGGAAGAGAAAAAGCGCUCAACAAAUAUUUAUUAAAUAUGUACAGAUUAUGAGAAAGGUUGCUGAGGAUUUUAAACUGUAAUGUAAUAUAAUGUAUAUUGUCUGCACUCCCCUCUCAUUUUAGAUGGGGUAAUGAGGCCCAGAGAGGAGAGGGAAUUUGUCCAGUGACACACAGGAAGCCAGUGGCAGAGCAAGGGGUGGUUCCCAGCUUUUAUGCUUCCAGGUCUAAUGCUCGUCACACACAUCACACCAUAUCAGUCACGUCACAGAUGCCAUACACUGUCUGAUAUUAGAAAAACCCGUCCAAUUCAACUGAUAUUUAUGGAUUUCUUAUUAGGUUCCAGGCAUGGUGCUAAGCACUGCGGGAUUACAAGAUGAGUUACACAGUCUCUGCAUUUAAGUUCACAAAAACACAGAAAGCACUACCAAAUAGUUAUUAGGACAUAAAUAUUGCCAUGGGGAUAUAAAGAAAGCACUGGGAGCUCACGGUGAAUGGAGCCAUGAAGUUGGAUUACAGGAGGCACAAGGUCAAAGGCUUUUCAUGGGAAAAGUGUGUUAGGCUAAUCUUUGGAAGAAAUGCAGGGCAGUCAGCUAAGAAGAGAAGGAACAGUUCAGUCCCAGGAAAAGCACAGAGGACAAAGGCCCUGCCUACCCCACGCCUGUGACUAGAAGGAGUCGUCAUAGAAAUUACGGAAUAAAGACUGGGAAUGUGAAUUUGUCCAGGUCAUCAAGGGCCGGGAAUACUAUGCUUGGGAAUUCAAGCUUUAUUUGAUAGGUAAUGGAAGCUUUUAAAGGUUAUCUGAAGACAGGCACUAUCUUUUUUGGAAAACCAUUCUGGCUACAGCAGCAUGAGAGUGGAGAGAGGGAUGGCGACGAGAGAAGCUACAAGGCAGCUUCAAAAUCUAGAAAGCUUUCUCCAAAGAGGAAAGUAGUGCUGAGAACAGAGAGGAAACAGCAAAUAGGAGGAACACUGCAGAGAAGAACUGGCAGCUUGGGCUCUGCAUUCAGGCUGGCCAUCCCCUUGUGUCCUUAGGCUAGUAAUCAAAUUAUGCGUGCUCAGUUUCAUCAUCAGCGCAAUGGGGCUAGAGCGCCUGCUCCCAGUGUCGGAUGUGUAAAGCACUAAAAAGGAUGCCUGUCCCACAGAAAGAUCUCAGUAAGUGUUCAUGGUGGCUGUUGGAACAGAGAUGUUAACAUGGAAGGCAAGUCUCCCAGAGCUGGCACCCACCACUGUCUUCAGUGCCUAGAAAAGUCUUUGACACCUAUUAGGCAUUUGGUAAAUACUUUUAUUGCUUUUAUUGUGUCUUCUUUGUAUUUUCUCCCUUUAUACCUUUCAGACAUGAUCUUAUAUGAAGUUAUUUGCAUAAAGACUACGACUGGAGUCUUCAGAUAGUAUGGGUUGAUAUGGGAAAGUUUAUUAAUGAUGUCACGAUUUUCUCUAAAAGUGACUAUCACUUUCAAUGUAUUCAGCAGAAGGUUUGGGAAACAAAAUGUUUAAGUGGAGGUGAAUGUUUUAGAGACAUCCUUCCUUGAAUUUGAUUUACAAGAUCAGUGAGCUAAGGCUCAGUGGUAACAAUUCACAAGUCUAGGGCUCUGACUUGGCUGGACAGGUGACUCACUGGGUCAUGAGAGCUCCAUGCUUUCUCUAGGACUUACUUUACUUAUCUUUGAAAUGGGAUUUAUUAUCUGAGCCCUAGAAAUGCUAUGUUCAUGAAUUGAUACACGUUGAUGGCUUAAGGGGAAGAAGGCAGUAGGUGGCUGAUGAAACUCUCUGGUUUAUAAAGUUUGCACAGAUUCCUAAGAUAAUCAGGAAUUGACAGUCCAGUUAUACCUUCAGGGACUGGGAUUCUCUUUAUAUUUGUUCGAUUAUUUGUUUGAUCAAAACUCAUUUUCCUUCAUUAAAACAUUAGUGAAAAAUAUCCUUCCAGCCACCUUCAGAAAAGCAACUAAAAUGGGCCACACACACUGCCUAGCAUAAGUGUAACUAAGACAUAGUCUCAGUGAACAUAGGGAAAACAUAUAUGUAAAAAAUAAAUACAAUAAAAUUUUAAAUGCUCUCAUGGAGAUAUAUACAAGGUACAAAUGAAGGAAAAUUAGCUGUGUUCAGUGGAGUGGGUGUUGAUCUAGGCAAGGGUCACAGAGGAGUGGUCAUGAGCUGGGUAUCUCAGGGUGAGUCGCAUCACAUAGGGUGUGGGGAGAAGAGCGUUUCUAGCUGUGAGAGGCAGCAUGUGCAAAGCUUUGACAAGUCAUCCCUGAGAAGCAGCACAUACAGGAGGGGGAAUAUUCAGAAUUAGGCUAGAAAGAAAGGGG